Sapajus apella (tufted capuchin) is the source of this 199-nucleotide long non-coding RNA. RefSeq lists it as uncharacterized. NCBI's taxonomy places the organism in Eukaryota, Metazoa, Chordata, Mammalia, Primates, Cebidae. The record is from RefSeq and is a predicted model, not a curated record. The transcript is spliced from 3 exons.
UAGGUAAAUUGUGAAUACAAAGGAAAAAUUCUUGAAGGACAUUAAAAGUGCUAGUCCAGUGAACACGCAAAUGAUCAGAAAGCAAAAUAGCCUUACUGUGGCUAUGGAGAAAGUUUCAGUGGUGUCAGUAAUAGAUCAAAUCAGACCCAACAUUCUCUUAAACCAAAGCCUAACACAGAGCAAGGCCCUAACCCUUCAA